AGCAGCCGCGGUAAUUCCAGCUCCAAUAGCGUAUAUUAAAGUUGUUGCAGUUAAAAGCUCGUAGUUGAAUUUCGGGAUUGGCGCAUCGGUCGUGCCUCACGGGGUAUGAACUGGUGCAGUCAAUUUCUCACCUUCUGGAGAACCGCGAUGUCCUUAAUUGGAUGCCGCGGGGAACCAGGACCUUUACUUUGAAAAAUUGAGUGUUUAAAGCAGGCUAUUUUUGCUUGAAUACAUUAGCAUGGAAUAAUAAAAUAGGACGGCAUGGUUCUAUUUUGUUGGUUUCUAGGACCACCGUAAUGAUUAAUAGGGAUAGUUGGGGGCAUUAGUAUUCAAUUGUCAGAGGUGAAAUUCUUGGAUUUAUUGAAGACUAACUACUGCGAAAGCAUUUGCCAAGGAUGUUUUCAUUAAUCAAGAACGAAAGUUAGGGAUACGAAGACGAUCAGAUACCGUCGUAGUCUUAACCAUAAACUAUGCCGACUAGGAAUCAGACGAUGUUAAUUUUUUAAUGUAACUUCGUUUG
RNAcentral lists this unclassified non-coding RNA (520 nucleotides) under uncultured Entrophospora. RNAcentral's name for it is "SSU rRNA". It matches the Rfam family "Eukaryotic small subunit ribosomal RNA", at positions 569 to 1082 of the family's 1831-position model. The record is from RNAcentral. Lineage: Eukaryota; Fungi; Glomeromycota; Glomeromycetes; Entrophosporales; Entrophosporaceae.